UUGACCUCGGAUCAGGUAGGAAUACCCGCUGAACUUACAACAGGGAUUGCCUUAGUAACGGCGAGUGAAGCGGCAACAGCUCAAAUUUGAAAUCUGGCCCUCGGGUCCGAAUUGCAAUUUGCAGAGGAUGAUUUUGGUGCGGUAUCUUCCGAGUUCCUUGGAACAGGACGCCUUAGAGGGUGAGAGCCCCGUACGGUUGAAUGCCUAGCCUCUGUAAAUCUCCUUCGACGAGUCGAGUAGUUUGGGAAUGCUGCUCUAAAUGGGAGGUAAAUUUCUUCUAAAGCUAAAUAUUGGCCAGAGACCGAUAGCGCACAAGUAGAGUGAUCGAAAGAUGAAAAGCACUUUGAAAAGAGGGUUAAAUAGCACGUGAAAUUGUUGAAAGGGAAGGAUUUGUGACCAGACUUUUUCUGGGCGGAUCAUCCGGGGUUCUCUCCGGUGCACUUUGCCCAGUAAAGGCCAGCAUCGAUUUUCGGCGGCGGAUAAAAGCAGUGGGAAUGUGGCUCCCUACGGGGAGUGUUAUAGCCCAUUGUAUAAUACGCUGCUGGGGAUCGAGGUACGCGCUUCUGCAAGGAUGCUGGCGUAAUGGUUAUCAAUCA
This 596-nucleotide ribosomal RNA is filed under the name Pestalotiopsis sp. SGLAf39. RNAcentral's name for it is "eukaryotic LSU rRNA". It matches the Rfam family "Eukaryotic large subunit ribosomal RNA", at positions 1 to 647 of the family's 3401-position model. The record is from RNAcentral. Lineage: Eukaryota; Fungi; Ascomycota; Sordariomycetes; Amphisphaeriales; Sporocadaceae.